RNAcentral lists this ribosomal RNA (809 nucleotides) under Clostridioides difficile. RNAcentral describes it as "partial 23S ribosomal RNA". It matches the Rfam family "Bacterial large subunit ribosomal RNA", at positions 377 to 1189 of the family's 2925-position model. The record is from RNAcentral. Lineage: Bacteria; Bacillati; Bacillota; Clostridia; Peptostreptococcales; Peptostreptococcaceae.
AUGUUAAACGAGAAGACUUUAGAUAUGAUCCAGAGUACCACGGGACACGUGAAACCCUGUGGGAAGCAGGAGGGACCACCCUCCAAGGCUAAAUACUACCUAGUGACCGAUAGCGUAUAGUACCGUGAGGGAAAGGUGAAAAGAACCCCGGGAGGGGAGUGAAAUAGAACCUGAAACCCUGCACUUACAAGCUGUGGAAGCACAUUUCUUGUGUGACCGCGUACUUUUUGUAGAACGGGCCAACGAGUUACGUUAAGUAGCAAGGUUAAGCACUUAAGGUGCGGAGCCGUAGCGAAAGCGAGUUUUAACUGAGCGUUCAGUUACUUGACGUAGACCCGAAACCGGGCGACCUACCCAUGAGCAGGAUGAAGCGAAAGUAAAAUUUCGUGGAGGUCCGAACCCACGAGCGUUGAAAAGCUCGGGGAUGACUUGUGGGUAGCGGUGAAAUUCCAAUCGAGCCCGGAGAUAGCUGGUUCUCCCCGAAAUAGCUUUAGGGCUAGCCUCAAGGUGAGAGAUACGGAGGUAGAGCACUGAAUGUCCUAGGGGGUAUUGCACCUACCGAAGACUAUCAAACUCCGAAUGCCGUCAUCUUAUACUUGGGAGUCAGACUGUGGGUGAUAAGAUUCAUAGUCGAAAGGGCAACAGCCCAGAUCGUCAGCUAAGGUCCCUAAAUGUAAGUUAAGUGGUAAAGGAUGUGGGAUUGCACAGACAACCAGGAUGUUGGCUUAGAAGCAGCCACUCAUUCAAAGAGUGCGUAAUAGCUCACUGGUCGAGUGAUCCUGCGCCGAAGAUUUCCGGGGCUAAAACUU